AGGGAAGACAGAAUGAGCAGAGGGUGGAUGCCUCGGCGCUGCGUGCCGAAGAAGGACGUGGCAUUGCUGCGAUAAGCGGGGGGGAGCCGCGAGCGGGCGUUGAUCCUCCGAUUUCCGAAUGGGGCAACCCCACAGCCUUUGGCUGUGACCGCCGUCUGGCGGAGGGCACCGGGGGAACUGAAACAUCUCAUGUACCCCGAGGAACAGAAAUCAUCCCCGUAGUAGCGGCGAGCGAACCGGGGGAAGCCUAAACGAGCCGCGUGCCAAGCCGGCAGGCCUUGCGCGUCUCGGGUUGGAAGACUAUCCGCUGAGGAGCUGCCGCUCCUCGCAGGUAUGGCAACCGUGCAGGGAAAGACGUCUGGAAAGCGUCGCCAUAGACCGUGACAGCCGGGUACCCGACCCACGUCGUUGCUCCUGGGAUAGCUCUUGAGUAGCGCCGGACACGAGAAAUCCGGCGUGAAGCUGGGGGGCCCACCUCCCAAGGCUACAUACACGCAGUGACCGAUAGCGCACAGUACCGUGAGGGAACGGUGAAAAGUACCCCGGCGAGGGGAGUGAAAUAGAUCCUGAAACCGUCUGCUUACGUGCAGUCGAAGGGCGAGACCUUGUGUCGCCUGACGGCGUGCCUUUUGGAGUAUGAUCCGGCGAGUUACCCUUCGUGGCCGGUUAAGCCAGUCAUAGGCGGAGCCACAGCGAAAGCGAGUCUGAAUAGGGCGCGUGUCGCGGGGGGUAGACCCGAAACCGCUUGAGCUAUCCAUGGUCAGGCUGAAGCGUCCGUAACAGGACGUGGAGGGCCGAACCGGUGUAGGUUACAAACUGCUCGGAUGAACUGUGGAUAGGGGUGAAAUGCCAAUCGAAAGCGGAGAUAGCUGGUUCUCCCCGAAAUGCAUUGAGGUGCAGCCCGGAUGUAGGGGCUGCCUGAGGUAGAGCACUGUUGUUGUGCGGGGGCUUCACCGCCUACCAAGCGACGGCAAACUCCGAAUGCAGGCAGCACACCACCGGAGUGAGACAGUGGGCGCAAACGUUCAUUGUCAAAAGGGAAACAACCCAGACCUGCAGCUAAGGUCCCGAAAUCCAUGCUGAGUGGCAAAGGAUGUGUCGUUGCACAAACAACCAGGAGGUUGGCUUAGAAGCAGCCACCCUUGAAAGAGUGCGUAACAGCUCACUGGUCGAGUGACGGCGCGCCGAUAAUCCAACGGGGCAAAGCAUGGUACCGAAGCUCAGGAUGCAGCCUUUUGGCUGCGUGGUAGGGGAGCGUCGGCAGGCCGGCGAAGCGGUAGCGGAAGCCAACCGUGGAGGCCUGCCGAGUGCGAAUGCCGGAACGAGUAACAGAGAAGGGGAGUGCGAACCUCCCCCACCGGAAGCCUAAGGGUUCCGCCGCAAGGGUGAUCCGCGGCGGGUUAGUCGGGCCUAAGGGGCGCCCCAGCGGGCGAUCACCGAUGGACAACUGGUAGACAUUCCAGUACUAUGGUUUAUUCGUUUGACCAAUGCCGGAUGCUGAUGGGGAACCGCCGCGGCGAGACGUGCGCCGUCCAAGCUGGUAGGGAGGCACAGGUUAAUCCCUGUGUCAGUGACCGAGAGGCGAGAGCGAGCGGGGGUAGCAAUACCCACCGCAAGGGGGGGGCACCUAGGCAGUCAAGAAAGGCCGGCUCGGGAGAAUAACCGUACCCGUACCGCAAACCGACACAGGUAGGCUGGCUGAGCAAGCUAAGGUGGACGAGUGAUCCCGGGUUAAGGAACUCGGCAAUUUACCCCCGUACCUUCGGUAGAAGGGGGGCUCCUGGCGGUGACCCGCCUUGCGCGGCGAGCGGCUGGGAGCGGCACAAACCAGGCCCAGGCGACUGGAUAACAGAACCACAGGUCCCUGCUGAAGUCGUAAGACGACGUAUAGGGGCUGAUGCCUGCCCAGUGCUGGAAGGUUAAGGGGAGGGGUUCACGCUCCGAACCGAAGCCCCAGUGAACGGCGGCUGUAACUAUAACAGUCCUAAGGUAGCGAAAUUCCUUGUCGGGUAAGUUCCGACCCGCACGAAAGGCAUCACGAUCUGGGCAGUGUCUCAACCCGGGGCUCGGUGAAACUGCGAUCACGGUUAGGACGCCGUGAACCCGUAGCAGGACAAAAAGACCCCAUGGAGCUUUACUACAGCUUGCCAUUGGAUGCGGUCUACGGCUGCGUAGCAUAGGUGGGAGCCAGUGAUCCGGCCCUUGCGGGGGUCGGGGAGGCAGCAGUGAAAUACCACUCUGUCGUAGAUUGCGUCCUCACGCGCCAAAGGUGCGGACCGUGGCUGGUGGGUAGUUUGUCUGGGGCGGACGCCUCCCAAAAGGUAACGGAGGCGCGCAAUGGUCCCCUCACGCGGGAUGGCAACCCGCGGUUGAGUGCAAAGGCACAAGGGGGCUUGACUGCAAGGCAAACAGGCCGCGCAGAGACGAAAGUCGGCCUUAGUGAUCCUACGGCCCGGAGUGGAACGGCCGUAGCUUAUCGGAUAAAAGCUACCCUGGGGAUAACAGGCUGAUCCUGCCCAAGAGUUCACAUCGACGGCAGGGUUUGGCACCUCGAUGUCGGCUCGUCGCAUCCUGGGGCUGGAGUCGGUCCCAAGGGUUGGGCUGUUCGCCCAUUAAAGCGGCACGCGAGCUGGGUUCAGAACGUCGUGAGACAGUUCGGUCUCUAUCCGCUACGGGCGCCUAGUGUAUUGCGCGGAGCUGAUCUUAGUACGAGAGGACCGGAUUGGACGGACCGCUGGUGGAGGAGUUGUGGGACGACCUGCAGGCUCCGUAGCUAUGUCCGGAAGCAAGAACCGCUGAAAGCAUCUAAGUGGGAAAUGCGCCGCAAGAUGAGUACACUCACGGGCUUGGCCCGGUAAGUCCCCCAGGAGAUGACUGGGUGAGCGGCUGGAGCUGGAGGCGUGGCGACACGUGGAGGCGACCAGUGCGCAUGGACGAGGGCUUCCCUGG
Ribosomal RNA from Kouleothrix aurantiaca, 2949 nucleotides. It matches the Rfam family "Bacterial large subunit ribosomal RNA". The record is from Rfam. NCBI's taxonomy places the organism in Bacteria, Bacillati, Chloroflexota, Chloroflexia, Chloroflexales, Roseiflexaceae.